Molecule: ribosomal RNA, 562 nt
Filed under: uncultured Acidobacteriota bacterium
Lineage: Bacteria; Pseudomonadati; Acidobacteriota
Description: bacterial SSU rRNA
Rfam family: Bacterial small subunit ribosomal RNA
Source: RNAcentral
UCUCCGGUUGAGUGGCGGACGGGUGAGUAACACGUGGGUAACCUGCCCGGAAGUGUGGAAUACCUCGGGGAAACUCGAGCUAAUACCGCAUGACAUCUUUGGGACGAGAGUCCUGACGAUCAAAGCGGGGUCGCAAGACCUCGCGCUACCGGAUGGGCCCGCGCCCGAUUAGCUAGUUGGCGAGGUAACGGCUCACCAAGGCAACGAUCGGUAGCCGGCCUGAGAGGGUGAUCGGCCACACCGGAACUGAGACACGGUCCGGACUCCUACGGGAGGCAGCAGUGGGGAAUCUUGCGCAAUGGGCGAAAGCCUGACGCAGCAACGCCGCGUGGAGGAUGAAGGCCCUUGGGUUGUAAACUCCUGUCGGCUGGGAAGAAAUCGUUCGGGGCUAAUACCUCCGGACGUUGACUGUACCAGCAAAGGAAGCCCCGGCUAACUCUGUGCCAGCAGCCGCGGUAAUACAGAGGGGGCCAGCGUUAUUCGGAAUUAUUGGGCGUAAAGGGCGCGUAGGCGGCCACGCGUGUCUUUCGUGAAAUCCCUCGGCUUAACUGAGGACGUGCGG